AGAUCCAUAUGUAGGGUAUUUUAUGAUCAAAUCAUGUGCUUGCAUUGUAGAUUAAAAUAUUUAAUCUAAAUUUAUUUCACUGUAAAAUUUAAAAAAUACAUGCAUGAAACUCCUAUGAUUUUCCAACAGUGGUAUCAAAGUCGUGCUUCUUAUGACAUGUAUAUUCUGCAUGUACCUUUAUAAAAUCUAAAUUUUAAUUAUUUAGAUUAGAUCUAAAUAAUUAAUUUUAAUUUUGAGUAGUAUAGUAGUCGGAUUGGGU
Molecule: long non-coding RNA, 259 nt
Filed under: Elaeis guineensis (African oil palm)
Lineage: Eukaryota; Viridiplantae; Streptophyta; Magnoliopsida; Arecales; Arecaceae
Description: long non-coding RNA (EGUI_LNC048001)
Source: RNAcentral